AUACGUAGGGGGCGAGCGUUGUCCGGAAUGAUUGGGCGUAAAGGGCGCGUAGGCGGCUUUGCAAGUCAGUAGUGGAAGUCCAUUUUUCAAGGAUGGAAGUGCUACAGAAACUGCGGAGCUUGAGUGCAGGAGAGGUUAUCGGAAUUCCCGGUGUAGCGGUGAAAUGCGUAGAGAUCGGGAGGAACACCAGUGGCGAAGGCGGGUAACUGGACUGCAACUGACGCUGAGGCGCGAAAGUGUGGGGAGCAAACAGGAUUAGAUACCCUGGUAGUCCACACUGUAAACGAUGAAUGCUAGGUGUAGGAGGUAUCGACCCCUUCUGUGCCGCAGUAAACACAGUAAGCAUUCCGCCUGGGGUGUACGGUCGCAAGAUUAAAACUCAAAGGAAUUGACGGGG
Molecule: ribosomal RNA, 397 nt
Filed under: uncultured bacterium
Lineage: Bacteria
Description: partial 16S ribosomal RNA
Rfam family: Bacterial small subunit ribosomal RNA
Source: RNAcentral